This 492-nucleotide ribosomal RNA is filed under the name uncultured bacterium. Its description in RNAcentral is "partial 16S ribosomal RNA". It matches the Rfam family "Bacterial small subunit ribosomal RNA", at positions 30 to 507 of the family's 1533-position model. The record is from RNAcentral.
AGUGAACGCUGGCGGUAGGCCUAACACAUGCAAGUCGAACGGCAGCACAGUAAGAGCUUGCUCUUACGGGUGGCGAGUGGCGGACGGGUGAGGAAAACAUCGGUAUCUAUUUUUUCGAGGGGGAUAACGUAGGGAAACUUACGCUAAUACCGCAUACGACCUACGGGUGAAAGCAGGGGAUCUUCCGGUCUUGCGUGAUCGAAUGAGCUGUGGUCGGUUUAGUUAGUUGGCGGGGUACAGGCUCACCAAGGCGACGAUGCGUAGCCGGUCUGAGGGGACGAAGCGGCACACUGGGACUGAGCCGCGGUCCAGACUCUUACGGGAGGCAGAGGUGGGGAAUAGUGGACGAUGGGGGCAAGCUUGAUCCAGGCAUGCAGCGUGGGUGAAGAAGGGCCUCGGGUUGUAAAGCGCUUUUGGUGGGGAAGAACGGUAGCAGCUUGAGAGCAGGCUGUGGUGACGGUACCCAAAGAAUAAGCACCGGCUAACUUCGUG